RNAcentral lists this ribosomal RNA (466 nucleotides) under uncultured bacterium. RNAcentral describes it as "partial 16S ribosomal RNA". It matches the Rfam family "Bacterial small subunit ribosomal RNA", at positions 28 to 505 of the family's 1533-position model. The record is from RNAcentral.
GACGAACGCUGGCGGCGUGCUUAACACAUGCAAGUCGAACGGAAAGGCCCUGCUUUUGUGGGGUGCUCGAGUGGCGAACGGGUGAGUAACGCGUGAGUAACCUGCCCUUGACUUUGGGAUAACUUCAGGAAACUGGGGCUAAUACCGGAUAGGAGCUCCUGCUGCAUGGUGGGGGUUGGAAAGUUUCGGCGGUUGGGGAUGGACUCGCGGCUUAUCAGCUUGUUGGUGGGGUAGUGGCUUACCAAGGCUUUGACGGGUAGCCGGCCUGAGAGGGUGACCGGCCACAUUGGGACUGAGAUACGGCCCAGACUCCUACGGGAGGCAGCAGUGGGGAAUAUUGCACAAUGGGCGGAAGCCUGAUGCAGCAACGCCGCGUGCGGGAUGACGGCCUUCGGGUCGUAAACCGCUUUCGCCUGUGACGAAGCGUGAGUGACGGUAAUGGGUAAAGAAGCACCGGCUAACUACG